Molecule: long non-coding RNA, 649 nt
Organism: Helianthus annuus (common sunflower)
Lineage: Eukaryota; Viridiplantae; Streptophyta; Magnoliopsida; Asterales; Asteraceae
Exons: 5
Source: RefSeq, a predicted model, not a curated record
CUCACCAUGUUAAAUCCGUGUCAAUGUCUAAUUUUACUUCACAAGAAGUUGAAGCCCUUAAAGAAGGCAGUAAUCAGCGUGCAAUGGAAACAUUUAUAAGAGAUUGGGACCCACGAGAACAUAGACUUCUACAUAACAGCAAUGUGGAGAAAGUUUGAGAUUUUAUAAAGAGUGUCUACGUGGAUAAGAAGUUUUUCACUUCAAAGGCGUCCGGAAAACCUUCUAGAGAUGCAAUGGAUGGUUCGGUUCUAUAUUGGAUGUGAUGGAAGUUGUUUUGAAGGCAUUUGCACCAAGGAGGUACUAUGAAAUCGACCUCCAUUAACGGCGUGAAGAUGUAUACAGUUGUAGGAUAACAUCGCUCGCUGGCCACUUGGCUACCGCCGAAGAAGCUUAGAGCUCUUCGCAAAGACAAAAAUUACACGGAAAGGGUGGAUUUGAUCCAAGAUUUAAGAUUUGUCAACGUUCUAAAGCCAUUGGUACAUAAUUGCACGCCAAUUACUCGACAAAAUGUCUCAAUGAAGUGCUGCCAUAAAAAUUGAAGUCAUAACGAUGUCCAGCAGAGUUCCAGCAAUAAGCAACUAACACACUUCUACUACAAAUUGCACCACCAAUAUGUAAGUUUAAGUGCACAAGAAUUGUUAAUUUGCAA